This 725-nucleotide long non-coding RNA is filed under the name Glycine max (soybean). RNAcentral's name for it is "long non-coding RNA (GMAX_LNC003188)". Lineage: Eukaryota; Viridiplantae; Streptophyta; Magnoliopsida; Fabales; Fabaceae. The record is from RNAcentral.
UGAUAAUGAUAAUUAUGAUGAUAUUGAUUUGAGAUGAUGUUGUUAAUAAAGACCAUGUCAACAUGAAUUGUUAUUAUUGAUGAAUAUGUGAAUAUGAAAUGAGGUUGUUGUUGUUGUUGAUAACGUCAUUGAGAUGAGAUGAUAUUUAUGUUGUGAAUGACAUGGAAAUACGAUUUGUUGAUUGAUGUUGGGAAUGCAUUGGCAUGUGCAUGUUGUGUAUGUUCGUGGGGGGCACUGUGCACUGACCUUCCAGGGUCUUUGGCACUAGCUUUUGGCCACGUUCAUACGUUGGAUGUUGUGUAUGAUCGUGGGGGGCACUGUGCACUGACCUUCCAGGGUCUUUGGCACUAGCUUUUGGCCACGAUCAUACGUCGUAUGAAGUGUAUGUCAUGGGGGGGUAGAGUGCACUGACCUUGUCGGAUGACCCAGACGUGGGUAACUAGUGUGGUUAGAGAAUCUAAGCAUUCCUGAGGGGAUGCUUAGGUGCUUUAAUUGGUCCAUGGUCUUGGGAACUUACUUUUGGCCGUGAUCAUAGCUCAUAUGACAUAGGAAAUAAAGUAACUGUGGCCAAGUGUACUUUGUACUAGGGGGCUGUCACCUGGUAGGGAACACCUUUGGGCUCCCAGGCUGAUCACCUAUGGGAGGGGGGCUGUUACGUGCACAACCGGGUGGUCUCGACAAACUCAGCACAGUUCCCUAAGUGAGAGUGUCGUGUGGACACGCUU